CUCACCUGCGCUAAAGUGAAGGAAAGUCCGUUUGAGUUUUCUCCACAGUAUCAAGGGGACAGAAAAGUUUAAAAUAGUGAGCAAUCACAUUGGUGUGACAAAAGGACAAUGGAUUACAAGAUCUGAGUGGAAAUAUUCAUUAAAAAAUGGAUUAUGACAAUGAAACAACAAAGGUUUUGUGCCUGACGAGGAAAAACUGUCCAUCUGUAAGUGUGAUCGAAAAUUAAGGCCCUUGCAGAUGUACACCACUAGAUGACAGCAUUGGUUAGUGGGGAAACGAAUGGCUAAGACUGAGUGUCAUUAAAUAAACAUUCUUGAUGCUUCUGUC
Molecule: non-coding RNA, 328 nt
Organism: Poecilia reticulata (guppy)
Lineage: Eukaryota; Metazoa; Chordata; Actinopteri; Cyprinodontiformes; Poeciliidae
Source: RefSeq, a predicted model, not a curated record